UACGAGGGGGGCGAGCGUUGUUCGGAAUUAUUGGGCGUAAAGGGUGCGUAGGCGGCCUGACAAGUCUGAUGUGAAAUCCCUGGGCUCAACCCAGGGCCUGCAUCGGAAACUGUCGGGCUUGAGUAUGGGAGAGGGGAGUGGAAUUUCCGGUGUAGCGGUGAAAUGCGUAGAUAUCGGAAGGAACACCUGUGGCGAAAGCGGCUCACUGGACCAUUACUGACGCUGAGGCACGAAAGCUAGGGGAGCAAACAGG
This 253-nucleotide ribosomal RNA is filed under the name uncultured bacterium. RNAcentral describes it as "partial 16S ribosomal RNA". It matches the Rfam family "Bacterial small subunit ribosomal RNA", at positions 524 to 776 of the family's 1533-position model. The record is from RNAcentral.